UACAGAGGGGGCAAGCGUUAUUCGGAAUCACUGGGCGUAAAGGGCUCGUAGGCGGUCUGUCGCGUCGAAAGUGAAAACUCAGGGCUUAACCCUGAGCCUGCUUCCGAUACGGGCAGACUAGAGGUAUGCAGGGGAGAACGGAAUUCCUGGUGUAGCGGUGAAAUGCGCAGAUAUCAGGAGGAACACCGGUGGCGAAGGCGGUUCUCUGGGCAUUACCUGACGCUGAGGAGCGAAAGUGUGGGGAGCGAACAGG
This 253-nucleotide ribosomal RNA is filed under the name uncultured bacterium. Its description in RNAcentral is "partial 16S ribosomal RNA". It matches the Rfam family "Bacterial small subunit ribosomal RNA", at positions 524 to 776 of the family's 1533-position model. The record is from RNAcentral.